GUUGGUUAGCUUGCUAACCGGCGGACAGCGGCGGAAGGGAGAGUAACGCGUGGUUAUGUGCCCUGAAGACCGGGAUAGUGUUGGGAAACUGGCAGUAAUACCGGAUAAUAUCUUUGGAUAAAAGGUGUGAUUCCGCUUCAGGAUCGGACCGCGUACUAUUAGCUUGUUGGUGGGGUAAUGGCCCACCAAGGCUCAGAUGGUUACCGGGUGUGAGAGCAUGACCCGGCUCACUGGGACUGAGACACUGCCCAGACAUCUACGGAUGGCUGCAGUCGAGAAUCUUCGGCAAUGGACGAAAGUCUGACCGAGCGACGCCGCGUGCGGGAUGAAGGCCCUCGGGUUGUAAACCGCUGUCAGUUAGGAGGAAAUCUAUGAGGGCACUCUCUCAUAGUUGACCGAUUUUCAGAGGAAGGACGGGCUAAGUUCGUGCCAGCAGCCGCGGUAAGACGAACCGUCCAAACGUUAUUCGGUAUCACUGGGCUUAAAGCGUGCGUAGGCGGCUUGAUAGGUGAGAUGUGAAAGCCCACGGCCCAACCGUGGAAUUGCGUUUCAAACCCUCAAGCUCGAGGAAGAUAGGGGUGAUGGGAACUUAUGGUGGAGCGGUGAAAUGCGUUGAUAUCAUAGGGAACACCGGUGGCGAAAGCGCAUCACUGGAUCUUUUCUGACGCUGAGGCACGAAAGCUAGGGUAGCGAACGGGAUUAGAUACCCCGGUAGUCCUAGCCGUAAACGAUGAGCACUGGGUUGAGGGAACUAUCACAUUCUCUCGGCCGUAGCGAAAGCG
RNAcentral lists this ribosomal RNA (782 nucleotides) under Planctomycetes bacterium SCGC AAA166-L08. RNAcentral describes it as "bacterial SSU rRNA". It matches the Rfam family "Bacterial small subunit ribosomal RNA", at positions 70 to 859 of the family's 1533-position model. The record is from RNAcentral. Lineage: Bacteria; Pseudomonadati; Planctomycetota.